Long non-coding RNA from Carassius carassius (crucian carp), 488 nucleotides. RefSeq lists it as uncharacterized. NCBI's taxonomy places the organism in Eukaryota, Metazoa, Chordata, Actinopteri, Cypriniformes, Cyprinidae. The record is from RefSeq and is a predicted model, not a curated record. The transcript is spliced from 2 exons.
UUCUUUGGCUUAUUUAAUGUUGUGCUGCACAGAAGAAUGAAAAGUCUUGCGGGUUUGGAAUGACAUGACCUACAUGUAUACAAACUUGUAUCCUCAGGAAGAUGGAUGAAUGUGUUCCCAGGGCAGAUGGCCAUGAUGCUUUGCUAUGCAUAUGGCUCACAGAUUACAACUCCGGCAGGGUGUCAGAACUGAUGAGGCAGCACUGGAGCAGAGUGUUGUGCCAUUUGCAUUUGAGGUUUACAGCUUAGCUGCAUGGAUGGUCACACUGCUUCUCAUGCUUAAUGUCAGAGUGUGAAUCCUGAACACAAACAUGUGUCGUAGUGUAACCCCCAAGACUGCUUUUAACAGAGUUUUCCUAUAGAAACAAGCAUUUUGAUGCCUUCUACUAAUUUGAUUGUUUAUGCCUUUUAAAUGGUACAUUUUUAAGUGAAAUUACAAAUGUUAGCUUUUGUUUAAUAAAUACAGUCCAGUGCAUACUGAUUUAAAAU